RNAcentral lists this ribosomal RNA (462 nucleotides) under Streptococcus sp. oral taxon C08. RNAcentral describes it as "bacterial SSU rRNA". It matches the Rfam family "Bacterial small subunit ribosomal RNA", at positions 28 to 472 of the family's 1533-position model. The record is from RNAcentral. Lineage: Bacteria; Bacillati; Bacillota; Bacilli; Lactobacillales; Streptococcaceae.
GACGAACGCUGGCGGCGUGCCUAAUACAUGCAAGUAGAACGCUGAAGCUUGGUGCUUGCACCGAGCGGAUGAGUUGCGAACGGGUGAGUAACGCGUAGGUAACCUGCCUGGUAGCGGGGGAUAACUAUUGGAAACGAUAGCUAAUACCGCAUAAGAGUAGAUGUUGCAUGACAUUUGCUUAAAAGGUGCAAUUGCAUCACUACCAGAUGGACCUGCGUUGUAUUAGCUAGUUGGUGAGGUAACGGCUCACCAAGGCAACGAUACAUAGCCGACCUGAGAGGGUGAUCGGCCACACUGGGACUGAGACACGGCCCAGACUCCUACGGGAGGCAGCAGUAGGGAAUCUUCGGCAAUGGACGGAAGUCUGACCGAGCAACGCCGCAUGAGUGAAGAAGGUUUUCGGAUCGUAAAGCUCUAUUGUAAGAGAAGAACGAGUGUGAGAGUGGAAAGUUCACACUGUGA